AAGAUCAUAUAAAUAUGAGCUUCUAACUCAAAAAUAUACUUAAAGUAUUGAUCUUU
Molecule: transfer RNA, 56 nt
Filed under: Tinaminyssus melloi
Lineage: Eukaryota; Metazoa; Arthropoda; Arachnida; Mesostigmata; Rhinonyssidae
Description: tRNA-Ser
Source: RNAcentral